Molecule: long non-coding RNA, 743 nt
Filed under: Homo sapiens (human)
Lineage: Eukaryota; Metazoa; Chordata; Mammalia; Primates; Hominidae
Description: HSALNT0302646
Source: RNAcentral
CAGCGUCUGGACGAAGAACCGCCGCCAGACCAGUUUGGGCCUGGUAUCUGUCAUGUUGGUAUCUUAUUGCUACAAAAAGUCUGUCUCGUCAGUCCAAAGUUAACAUCCCUGCAGUAACCAAAAACAUGAGCUGGAUAAGGAGGAGAAGAGGAGCUGGCCGAAUGAUUUUUAAGCAGAAGCUGAAUGUUCAAUAAGAAUAGAGUUGACACCUUCAGAGGAGAAGUAAGAAAUAGUUUUCCUGUGUGUCAUUACUUCUCAGAAUGCUAACCCAGAAGCUACCUUUACCUAUGCUAUGUUGAAGUACAAGCCUGGUCUGCCAACCUCAGAUGUUUCAGUAUUAUCACAAAAGAACAACUUGCCUGGAAGAAAGAACUAGAAUCUGGGAAUCCUGCUGGGGAAAGAGCAGAUAUAUUGUUUUAAACUGUGAUCAGUCACACCACUCAGGCCUCAUGUUCUUCAUCUGGAAAAUGAGUUCAGUAUCUGUCCAUCAUACCUGACAGAGGAGCAAAUGAAAUAACAUCUAGAAUCUUCUUGCAUACAAAUAUAAAUGAAGAUGAAUAUAUUAGGACUCAGAGAUAUUGAGAUCUCAGGUCACUCUAUGAAAGACUCGUCUUCAAUUUGGGUCAUCUGAAUUUAUAGCCUGACCUCCUUUUAUUUAUACCACAAGCACCCAUUAUAAAAGCAGAAAAGGAAGAACUGGAGGCUGGAGUGCAAUGGCACGAUCUCAGCUCACCGCAACCUCA